CUAACACAUGCAAGUCGAACGAGCGAGAGAGAGCUUGCUUUCUCGAGCGAGUGGCGAACGGGUGAGUAACGCGUGAGGAACCUGCCUCAAAGAGGGGGACAACAGUUGGAAACGACUGCUAAUACCGCAUAAGCCCACGGUGCCGCAUGGCACAGAGGGAAAAGGAGUAAUCCGCUUUGAGAUGGCCUCGCGUCCGAUUAGCUAGUUGGUGAGGUAAUGGCCCACCAAGGCGACGAUCGGUAGCCGGACUGAGAGGUUGAACGGCCACAUUGGGACUGAGACACGGCCCAGACUCCUACGGGAGGCAGCAGUGGGGAAUAUUGCACAAUGGGGGAAACCCUGAUGCAGCGACGCCGCGUGGAGGAAGAAGGUCUUCGGAUUGUAAACUCCUGUUGUUGGGGAAGAUAAUGACGGUACCCAACAAGGAAGUGACGGCUAACUACGUGCCAGCAGCCGCGGUAAAACGUAGGUCACAAGCGUUGUCCGGAAUUACUGGGUGUAAAGGGAGCGCAGGCGGGAAGACAAGUUGGAAGUGAAAUCUAUGGGCUCAACCCAUAAACUGCUUUCAAAACUGUUUUUCUUGAGUAGUGCAGAGGUAGGCGGAAUUCCCGGUGUAGCGGUGGAAUGCGUAGAUAUCGGGAGGAACACCAGUGGCGAAGGCGGCCUACUGGGCACCAACUGACGCUGAGGCUCGAAAGUGUGGGUAGCAAACAGGAUUAGAUACCCUGGUAGUCCACACCGUAAACGAUGAUAUACGAGGUGUUGGAGAUUGGACCCCUUCCAGUGCCGCAGUUAACCACAAUAGUAAUCCACCUGGGGAGUACGACCCGCAAGGUUGAAACUCAAAGGAAUUGACGGGGGCCCGCACAAGCAGUGGAGUAUGUGGUUUAAUUCGCCGCAACGCGAAGAACCUUACCAAGUCUUGACAUCCCUUGACAGGCAUAGAAAUAUGUAAUCUCUUCGGAGCAAGGAGACAGGUGGUGCAUGGUUGUCGUCAGCUCGUGUCGUGAGAUGUUGGGUUAAGUCCCGCAACGAGCGCAACCCUUAUGGUCAGUUACUACGCAAGAGGACUCUGGCCAGACUGCCGUUGACAAAACGGAGGAAGGUGGGGAUGACGUCAAAUCAUCAUGCCCUUUAUGACUUGGGCUACACACGUACUACAAUGGCGUUAAACAAAGAGAAGCAAGACCGCGAGGUGGAGCAAAACUCAGAAACAACGUCCCAGUUCGGACUGCAGGCUGCAACUCGCCUGCACGAAGUCGGAAUUGCUAGUAAUCGUGGAUCAGCAUGCCACGGUGAAU
RNAcentral lists this ribosomal RNA (1301 nucleotides) under uncultured bacterium. RNAcentral describes it as "bacterial SSU rRNA". It matches the Rfam family "Bacterial small subunit ribosomal RNA", at positions 48 to 1367 of the family's 1533-position model. The record is from RNAcentral.